RNAcentral lists this ribosomal RNA (247 nucleotides) under uncultured bacterium. RNAcentral describes it as "partial 16S ribosomal RNA". It matches the Rfam family "Bacterial small subunit ribosomal RNA", at positions 15 to 253 of the family's 1533-position model. The record is from RNAcentral.
GAUCAUGGCUCAGGAUGAACGCUAGCUACAGGCUUAACACAUGCAAGUCGAGGGGAAACGGGGAAGCAGCUUGCUGCUUUUUGUCGUCGACCGGCGCACGGGUGAGUAACGCGUAUCCAACCUUCCCAUAACAAAGGGAUACUCCGUAGAAAUGCGGUCUAAUACCUUAUGUUCUCUUUAUUAGGCAUCUUUUAUAGAGCAAAGAAUUUCGGUUAUGGAUGGGGAUGCGUCUGAUUAGCUUGUUGGG